RNAcentral lists this ribosomal RNA (563 nucleotides) under uncultured bacterium. Its description in RNAcentral is "bacterial SSU rRNA". It matches the Rfam family "Bacterial small subunit ribosomal RNA", at positions 338 to 916 of the family's 1533-position model. The record is from RNAcentral.
CCUACGGGAGGCAGCAGUGGGGAAUCUUGCGCAAUGGGCGAAAGCCUGACGCAGCAACGCCGCGUGCGGGAAGAAGGCUUUCGGGCUGUAAACCGCUUUCAGCAGGAACGAAAAUGACGGUACCUGCAGAAGAAGGAGCGGCCAACUAUGUGCCAGCAGCCGCGGUGAUACAUAGGCUUCAAGCGUUGUCCGGAUUUAUUGGGCGUAAAGAGUUCGUAGGCGGUCGAGUAAGUCGGGUGUGAAAAUUCUGGGCUCAACCCAGAGACGCCACCCGAUACUGCUUGACUUGAGUUCGAUAGGGGAGUGGGGAAUUCCUAGUGUAGCGGUGAAAUGCGCAGAUGUUAGGAGGAACACCGGUGGCGAAGGCGCCACUCUGGAUCGAUACUGACGCUGAGGAACGAAAGCAUGGGUAGCAAACAGGAUUAGAUACCCUGGUAGUCCAUGCCGUAAACGGUGGGCACUAGGUGUGGGUUUCUAUUAACGAAAUCCGCGCCGUCGCUAACGCAUUAAGUGCCCCGCCUGGGGAGUACGGUCGCAAGACUAAAACUCAAAGGAAUUGACGG